AUGGCAGCAGAUUUCUUUAGCCACCAUGCCAGGGACCUACACAAUAGAAAGCUGAGGAUCCCCUUACACAUCCAACGAGGCCUCUGCCCAUCAGUCUCACUGACAGCUCAGUCCGAAUCCCAGAGCAGGAAUUGGGUGUGGAGGCUUCUGUUCCUUCUGGCAGAUGCCCAAGGAACCCACUCACAGGUCCAUCUGACACAGUCUGGGGCUGAGCUGAAGAAGCCUGGAGAGACAGUGAAGAUCUCCUGCAAGGCUUCAGGCUACACCUUCACCAGCUAUGGAAUGAACUGGGUGAAGCAGGAAGCAGGAAAAGGCUUGCAGUACAUAGGGUGGAUCAACACUGCGAAUGGCAAUACAGGCUAUGCUGAGGGCUUCAAAGGUCGGUUUGUCAUCUCCAUGGACGCCUCCGUCAGCACCGCAUAUCUGCAGAUCAGCAACCUGAAGGCUGAGGACACAGCCAUGUCUUACUGUGCAAGACACAGUAUUUACAUGAGCUCCAUCACCCACUUCCCACAGUGCACAAGAGCCAGCACAGGUCACACAGCCUGGUGUGACCUGACCCUGGACAUUGCAAAACCUGUGACAAUAUGA
Non-coding RNA from Castor canadensis (American beaver), 591 nucleotides. NCBI's taxonomy places the organism in Eukaryota, Metazoa, Chordata, Mammalia, Rodentia, Castoridae. The record is from the annotation of a RefSeq genome assembly.